RNAcentral lists this ribosomal RNA (236 nucleotides) under uncultured Lactobacillus sp. RNAcentral describes it as "partial 16S ribosomal RNA". It matches the Rfam family "Bacterial small subunit ribosomal RNA", at positions 127 to 354 of the family's 1533-position model. Lineage: Bacteria; Bacillati; Bacillota; Bacilli; Lactobacillales; Lactobacillaceae. The record is from RNAcentral.
UGCCCCAUAGUCUGGGAUACCACUUGGAAACAGGUGCUAAUACCGGAUAAGAAAGCAGAUCGCAUGAUCAGCUUUUAAAAGGCGGCGUAAGCUGUCGCUAUGGGAUGGCCCCGCGGUGCAUUAGCUAGUUGGUAAGGUAAAGGCUUACCAAGGCGAUGAUGCAUAGCCGAGUUGAGAGACUGAUCGGCCACAUUGGGACUGAGACACGGCCCAAACUCCUACGGGAGGCAGCAGGC